CGCUGCUGUUGCCGUUGCCUUUUCUUGUGUUUUUUUCUUUCUUUCUUUGCGCCGCAGCGGCAGCGACGACGGUCAAUGCUGCCAACUUUGCCGUUGCCAGCCAUCAGACAACAUUUGUACUCGGUGGGUCUUGCUUCGAUCGGACACUCGGUCGCCGCCACGUUGCUGUAAUUAUCGCGUACUAUUUGCACCGUCCGCCGUUUGAUGUUUGUCGCUUGCCUUCAGCCGUCGUCGUCUGUUCGUCGCCGUCAUUUCCAAUUGGACGUACAUACAUUGCCAAUUGGACCGCUGCGUUUCAGCAACCCCAACCUACCUCCCCCUCAUUUCCCAUAUGUAGUCAGUCCCUUUAAUUAUCCGAAACGUAAAUUCUGCGAGUUCCGCUGCAAGCAAAUCAAAUUUAAACUGGCCGAAAAAAGUGCUUAAAAAUAAAACUCGGUCCCCAGUUCGUGUACCGUUAGUGUGUCGCUGCCAGCGCCUCAUGUGGCAGCCUCUUUUAGCUGCUUAUUUUUGCAUAAAUUCAAGUUCGCGCGCGUAUGCACAUAUAAAUAUUUACACACACAUACGCAAACACAAUAACACACACCUACACACAUUAGCAAGCACAAAAUCAGCGCAGACAGACCGCUGUCUGGCUUCCCCCAAUAAGAACAAACAAGCUUUAGUAGGAGCAGCAGCGGCAGCAGCAGUCCAAUAAGAACAAAACAGCAGGCGAAAAGAAAUACCGCGAAACGUAUAAGAAUUCAACUUGGGGCACAGCUUAAGCGACUUACGUUUCUUUUCGGCAUUACGUAGUAAACGUAAAGAGGCAUUCCCUCUGACACACACUGUGUGUAUGUGUGCGGCCUGGCUGGCUGCAUACAUCAAACACAUGUCGCUGCCGCAACAUUCCUUUUCGUAUGACGUUGACGUUGCGUCGCUGUCGCUGGUACUGCUGCUGCUGCUGCUGCUGCUUUAGCUGCGCCUUGCAAGUUUUUGACAUGUGCUGGUAUGUGUGUGUGUCUGUGUAUGAGUGUGACAAGUGCCGUCGCCGCCGCCGCCGCUGUCGCCUGCUGACUGCGCGCUUUACUUUUUAUGAUUAUUUUUCCUUAUUUUUUUAUAUACAUAUUUCGUAUUUAUUUUAUGUGCAUUUGCCUUUUGCCGCGUUAUUCGCGUGUGUUUUGACUUUGCGCGCCGCUCUCCAGCUCUCGCAUUACGGUUUAUUGAACUAGGCGCGCUCUAUUUAUGUUUUUGUUAUAUUUCUUUUUUUGAUUUGCCUGCCAGAUGGUGUCGCAGCUUUGUGCAGCAUCUCUGUCUCUCUUUCUCUCGUUUUAUACAGUUAAUAUUUUGCCUUUUCAGCAUUUCUCAUUAAUUCAAUUUUCAUUAUAGCAAGCAACAAAAUAACAUAAAGAAAUAUAAAAACCAAAUCUUGUGCAAAUUAAAGUCACGUGUUGACAAACAUUAAACUAAAACAAACCAAAAAAAAAAAAAAAUCCCCAAAAAAUACUUAACGCAUCCACUUCACUUACACUAAAGCUCUUACGUACACUCUUACACACAUACAGAUAGUCUUUUUACAACUAAUCGCAACAAUUGCGUCCAUUUUGCUCUCCAUAUCUCCGUUUUGUGCGCGCGUUCUUAUAAUUACAUACAUACAUAUAUUAUUGUUUAUUAUUUAAAAAUACAUGCAUAUAAUAUAUUUUUAAUAUAUAUCCAUAUAUAUCCAUAUACAUAUAUAUGUAAAGAAGCAGAAGUUUUUGGUGUGCAUAUCUAUAUAUUUUCUCUUUCGUUUGGGUCUUACACAAUAUAUAUCCUUACACAUACAACGAAAUCAGAAUUUAAUAUAUAAUUGUAUGCAAUUGAUUCCGUCACGUCGUCUACUACAAUUUGUCCAACCGACUCUACAACAAUAAAACUACGUUAUUUUAACUCACAAGAGAGAAACAAGCACAAGAAAAGCUGCGCACGAGGAUUAAAUGAUCUAAUUGCCUAAGGGUAUGUUGCGCAC
This is a long non-coding RNA of Drosophila mojavensis, 1984 nucleotides long. RefSeq lists it as uncharacterized. The transcript has 3 exons. NCBI's taxonomy places the organism in Eukaryota, Metazoa, Arthropoda, Insecta, Diptera, Drosophilidae. The record is from RefSeq and is a predicted model, not a curated record.